CAACUUUCUUCUUGAAACAUUACAAUUUUAAUCACAAAAUAUUAUGACUAAUCUUGAAAUAUUAUAACUUUAAUAUAAUAAAAUUAUAAUUUUAAGGUGUGACUUUAUUCUCAUGAAAUUAUUUUAUUCUCAAAAUAAUUCGACUUGAAAUAUUAUGACUUUAAAAUAAUAAAAUUGCGAUCUCUUAAAAUUACUUUAUUCUCGAAGUAUUACGACUUCAAUCUCGUUUUGCCCAGAUUUUUAAAAUUGUAAUAUGGCCCUAAUGUGUUAAAUCAAAGUAAUAAAGUGUUCAUCACUACUUAAUACACACUGUGGAAGUAGGAGGGGGCGGUAACACACCAGCCGCCGGAUGCACACUACCAUUAAACACGUAGUAAAAGAAGAAGAAGAAAUUCCCCGCAUCGUGAGCCAUGGCGACUUCUAAGGGCUCUCACUGGUCUGAUAAUGAGAUCGAGUGUUUAAUAAACAUCUGGGCGGAGGACGGCAUCCAACAGCAGCUGGAAAAGACGCACAAAAACUCCGCCGUUUUCCGCAAAUUCCGCGACCAUCUGUCCCGCCGCGGCUACGUGCGUUCUACGGAGCAGUGCCGCAACAAGGUGAAGAAGCUCCGCAUGAACUACAAGAGGGUCCGCGACGCCCCGCGCACCGUUAAGGCCAAGUACCGCUGGUUCGACGCCAUAGACCAGAUCAUCGGCCGCAGGGAGUGUCACACUGUGGUGGUGGGCUCCCCGAUGGACGGACCCUCACCCGACGAAGGCCCCGGAACUCCCCCCUGCAAUGUUUUCAGCAGCCGAAACAAUCCUGACGCUGACACCAAACCGCCAGAGUCACAGGAUGCUCUGCUGUUUUUAAUAAAGACUGAGGACGAUGACACCAAACAUCCCAUUAAAUCAGGCCCAUCAGAUGAGUCUAAUGACGAGCAAGGUGUGGGCGUGGCCAUGUCUGAGGACAACACGUCAGCGUCUGAGGCGGAGGCCACGGCGUCUCCUCAGGGCGUGUCCGCCAGGCCGUCAUCAUCCAGCAGGAGGAGGAGGAGGAAACGCACCAAUGAGACGACGGCGGCGUUCAUGGAGCUGCAGAAACGACACCACGAGGACUUCAUGGAGGCGGAGAAAGAGCGUCAGCGCCAGGAGCUAGACAUGUUCAGUGACUGGAUGAGGGAGCAGAGGGACAUGGAAGAGAGGAGGCAGCAGGAGGCUCACCUCAUGUUCCAGCAGCUGCUCUCCUUCCUGCAGAGGCCUUCACAGGCCACGCCCCCUGAGCAGCCACAGACGGAGAAACACAACUACUGACCGCCUGAGCACAGACUCUUUGUACAUGGAAUAGAUCUAUUUUUAUUUUUACACACUGUGCUGCGUCUGUCUGUGUUUUCUAAAAACAUUCAGAGGAACUCCAACAUUUGGACAUUUCUGACUCAGUUUCUCUCCAUUUUCACUUUAAGGAAAAUCAUUUGAUGUUUAACAAUCUUUAUGUUAAACGACACCUUUUUCAUUUACGGAAGGGUAUGGCAUUCACUUAAAAAAAAAAAAAAAAGAAAUCUGUUUUUUCUGAAUAAUUAAUUUUUUGGGGCUAUUUUUUUCUGUUUUCCAGACAAGUCACCAUAGGAUGGAUGUUCUUGCUGGAUUUCCAAGUAUUUUGACAAUUCUGAGAAAAAAAAUUAGCACAAAAACCAGGAAAAACAAUUAAAUUACUCAGAAAAGAUGGAUUUAUUUAUUUAUUCAAUUGAAUGCAUGAUGCUUCCUUAGUCAUUUCAUCGUUUUGGUUUUAAUAAAUUGUUGAGAAAUGUUGCA
RNAcentral lists this long non-coding RNA (1790 nucleotides) under Gouania willdenowi (blunt-snouted clingfish). RNAcentral describes it as "lncRNA (ENSGWIG00000000274.1)". The record is from RNAcentral. Lineage: Eukaryota; Metazoa; Chordata; Actinopteri; Blenniiformes; Gobiesocidae.